This is a non-coding RNA of Parasteatoda tepidariorum (common house spider), 923 nucleotides long. The record is from RefSeq and is a predicted model, not a curated record. NCBI's taxonomy places the organism in Eukaryota, Metazoa, Arthropoda, Arachnida, Araneae, Theridiidae.
CAAGGCACGUAGAGGAUAAGUAUGUAAGUAAGUAAGUAUAAAAAAAUUGUCUUCUGGAUUGAUCUUUAAAAUUACAAGGCUAUGGAGUUGAACAUUGGUAGCAGUCGUAAAUCAAAAAAUUGUUUCGGCUGCUGUACGACGGUUAUAAAAUCUAGAAAAAUUGACAUCCUUGAGUUCUGGCUUCUGUUCUUUAAAUGGAACUGUUAGAACCAGUUGUUAAUAAAAUGUAUAAAAAAAAGAUUUAAGAAUGAAUUUUAUUUUGUUGUGAAACAUGAAGGCUGUCUUUCAAAUAUUAAAAUGUUUUACAAUUGAAAAUCAAAUAUUUAGGAAAUUUUACGUUUCUUAACAACAACACUGUUUCAAGCCAUUUUAUUUAUUUUCUCAUAUUUUUACUAUUUUACAUUUUUCUCAAUAUUAUAAUCUUUAUAAAAGUAUUUUCAUACAUAUCUUGAAUUAUUAAAGGAGAUUUUUGGAAAGACCUUUAUACUAAUACUUUUGAGUGCCUGCAAAACUUACAAAAUUAUUUUAUUAAUUUAUUACAAAAUUAUUGCACGAAAAAAAAUGUUUUAAAUUUAUGGAAAUGUAGCAAUAAAACGGGCCAAUUAUUUAGUGCACAUAUCAAUAUACCUCUAUGCAUGCUGAUUCAAGAGGCCAUUGACUUUUUGUCGGUAAUAAAUUUUGUUUGAUAGCUAUCCAUUAUAAUUGUUUGAUUACAUUAAAGUUAUUGCAAUUAUGUAAUGAUUUUACCGUUUUUAAUAGGUACGAAAUGGACAUAUUAAAAGGAUUACUGAUAAUGAUAUCCAAUCAUUGGUAUUAGAAAUUGUUGGCAACAAUGUUAGUACAGCUUUUAUAACCUGCCCAGCUGAUCCUCGUAAAACAUUAGGAAUCAAGCUACCUUUUUUGGUACUUAUUGUCAAGAAUUU